Molecule: transfer RNA, 73 nt
Filed under: Capra hircus (goat)
Lineage: Eukaryota; Metazoa; Chordata; Mammalia; Artiodactyla; Bovidae
Also listed under: 1 other name
Rfam family: tRNA
About the family: Transfer RNA (tRNA) molecules are approximately 80 nucleotides in length. Their secondary structure includes four short double-helical elements and three loops (D, anti-codon, and T loops).
Source: Rfam by way of RNAcentral
UCUCUGGCAGUCCAUUGGUUAAGACUCUGCACUUCCAAUGCAGGGGGUACAGGUUUGAUCCCUGGCUGGGGAA